This 236-nucleotide long non-coding RNA is filed under the name Helianthus annuus (common sunflower). RNAcentral's name for it is "hypothetical non coding rna". The stretch from base 2 to 74 matches the Rfam family "tRNA". The record is from RNAcentral. Lineage: Eukaryota; Viridiplantae; Streptophyta; Magnoliopsida; Asterales; Asteraceae.
AGCCCGUCUAGCUCAGUUGGUAGAGCGCAAGGCUCUUAACCUUGUGGUCGUGGGUUCGAGCCCCACGGUGGGCGCCUUUUUAGCGAUUGUGAUUUUAACUAAAUUAGCUAUGCAGUUUUUGAGGUGCUGACCAUGAAAACAUCAACUCUAGAGAAGAACAAAAGCCCGUCGAGCUCAGUUUGUAGAGCGCAAGGCUCUUAUCCUUGUGGUCGUGGUUUUGAGCCCAACGGUUGGCA